AUACGUAGGGGACAAGCGUUGUCCGGAAUCACUGGGCGUAAAGGGCGCGUAGGCGGUUUUAUAAGUCAGAUGUGAAAGGUACCGGCUCAACCGGUGACGUGCAUUUGAAACUGUAAGACUUGAGUACUGGAGAGGCAAGUGGAAUUCCUAGUGUAGCGGUGAAAUGCGUAGAUAUUAGGAGGAACACCGGUGGCGAAGGCGGCUUGCUGGGCAGAUACUGACGCUGAGGUGCGAAAGCGUGGGGAGCGAACAGGAUUAGAUACCCUGGUAGUCCACGCCGUAAACGAUGAUGACUAGGUGUUGGGGAAACUCAGUGCCGCAGUUAACACAUUAAGUCAUCCGCCUGGGGAGUACGACCGCAAGGUUGAAACUCAAAUGAAUUGACGGGU
This 389-nucleotide ribosomal RNA is filed under the name uncultured bacterium. RNAcentral's name for it is "partial 16S ribosomal RNA". It matches the Rfam family "Bacterial small subunit ribosomal RNA", at positions 523 to 918 of the family's 1533-position model. The record is from RNAcentral.